Girardinichthys multiradiatus is the source of this 1206-nucleotide long non-coding RNA. RefSeq lists it as uncharacterized. NCBI's taxonomy places the organism in Eukaryota, Metazoa, Chordata, Actinopteri, Cyprinodontiformes, Goodeidae. The record is from RefSeq and is a predicted model, not a curated record. The transcript has 3 exons.
UUGAUAUGACACAUCAACACAAGUAUAACUGGGAGCUGGAAGGAAAGUGAUGGUUUUCUUUGCUAUCUCCCAUUACUCGGAUACCCCUAAAUAGUUUCCAGUUAAACAAACCGUCUUCAGAAGUCACCUAAUCACCUUGACAUCAACUGGAGCAGCUGCAGCAGCAGCCUUGGCCUUCUCCUCCUCUUCUUGCUGCCACAGGAUGAUAGGAUGAAUGGCUGCGCUCCGGUUCCGAGCAUUUUCCUCUAGCUGUGCUGAACUGGGGUUGGAACGCCAACAUGGGCAAAUCAAAGUGCAUAAAACAGAGUUAGGGGGAUAUAACCUGAGGCUAGUGGGCAGUCAGCUUCCAUGCACUCUUUGAUCAAACACCAAAGGACCUAAGCUUCCUCAAGAAGUACAGUCUGCUCUGUCCCUUCUUGUAGACGUCUUCACAGUUGCAUCUCCACUCCAGUCUGUUGUCCAGGUGAACACAGAGGUACUUACUUAUAGUCCUUCACCACCUCUUCUCCCAUAAUGGAAAUAGUGUUUGACCUAUUCCAGUUUCUCCUAAAAUCCACAAUCAUUUCCUUUGUUUUAUUCAUGUUCAAGAUGAGAUAAUUGUUUCUACACCAUGCCACAUAGCGGUUCACCACCUCCCUUUUCUCAGCUUCAUGUCCACCUCUGAUAGUUAUUUUCCUCUUUUGCCCGAAGGACAUGAUGUCCAUGAUUUCCAAAAAUAAUUUGAAAUGUGGACUUGCCAGACCACAGCACACUUUUCCCCUUUCCUUUUCCACUUUCCGUCAGUCCAUCUCAGCCCACGCGAUAUCUGUUACAGAAUGAUGUUGGUUUUCAAUGCAGUGCCUUCUGAGGGUUCGAAGGUCAUGGGUAUUCAAUGAUGGUUUCUGGCUUUGCUGCUUUCAUGCCGAGGUUUUUGCAGAUUUUCUGAAUCUUUUUAUGAUUUUAUGGACUGUAGAUUAUGAAAUCCCUAAAUUGUACAUUGAGAAACGUACUUAAACUGUUGGACUACUGCUCACCCAGUUGUUCACAAAGUAACGAACAUCGCCCCAUCCUUGCUUGUGAAUGACUGAACCUUUGGGGAUGCUCCUUUUAUACCCAAUCAUGACACUCACCUGUUUCCAAUUAACCUAAAAUUAAAAGUUUAUCUGUUUGAACAUUAAAUAUCUUGUCUUUGUAGUGGAUUCAUUUGCAUGUAGAUUAAACAGGAUU